AAAUUGAAGAGUUUGAUCAUGGCUCAGAUUGAACGCUGGCGGCAGGCCUAACACAUGCAAGUCGAGCGGAAACGAGUUAUCWGAACCUUCGGGGGACGAUAACGGCGUCGAGCGGCGGACGGGUGAGUAAUGCCUAGGAAAUUGCCCUGAUGUGGGGGAUAACCAUUGGAAACGAUGGCUAAUACCGCAUGAUGCCUACGGGCCAAAGAGGGGGACCUUCGGGCCUCUCGCGUCAGGAUAUGCCUAGGUGGGAUUAGCUAGUUGGUGAGGUAAGGGCUCACCAAGGCGACGAUCCCUAGCUGGUCUGAGAGGAUGAUCAGCCACACUGGAA
Molecule: ribosomal RNA, 331 nt
Filed under: Vibrio parahaemolyticus
Lineage: Bacteria; Pseudomonadati; Pseudomonadota; Gammaproteobacteria; Vibrionales; Vibrionaceae
Description: bacterial SSU rRNA
Source: RNAcentral